RNAcentral lists this transfer-messenger RNA (397 nucleotides) under Candidatus Saccharibacteria bacterium 32-50-13. It matches the Rfam family "transfer-messenger RNA". From Rfam's summary of the family: Bacterial tmRNA, also known as 10Sa RNA or SsrA, is named for its dual tRNA and mRNA-like properties. Its role is to liberate the mRNA from a stalled ribosome. To accomplish this part of the tmRNA is used as a reading frame that ends in a translation stop signal. Lineage: Bacteria; Candidatus Saccharimonadota. RNAcentral also lists the same sequence under 1 other name. The record is from RNAcentral.
GGGGCUGAUAUAGCUUUCGACAGAAGGAUAUUAACAGAUUAUUUUGCAAGCCGACCAUACACGUACGUAUAUUUUUAAUUGCAAACCCAAUUAAAACAGCAUUUGCAAAUCUAAAGAGUGCUAUCACUCCUAAGUUUGCCUUUGCACCAAUCGCAGCCUAAUACGCGCGAUCAUCCCGUGUCAUCAGGUGACAUAUCGGCAGGGGGUGUUAUAUUUAUGUCACUUACUACGUAUGUGCGCAGUGGUGCAUACGCUAGGAAAGUUUUCCACGCAACAAUUCGGACAUUUCUGUUUAUCUUUUAGCCUGAAGAGUUGUAAAUUAUCAAGAUAAACUAAGCUUGUAGACGAAUAGUCAGUUACCUUUUGGACGCGGGGGCAGUACCCGCCAGCUCCACCA